This 396-nucleotide ribosomal RNA is filed under the name Callinectes sapidus (blue crab). Its description in RNAcentral is "partial 16S ribosomal RNA". It matches the Rfam family "Bacterial large subunit ribosomal RNA", at positions 1933 to 2531 of the family's 2925-position model. The record is from RNAcentral. Lineage: Eukaryota; Metazoa; Arthropoda; Malacostraca; Decapoda; Portunidae.
GCGGUAUCUUGACCGUGCAAAGGUAGCAUAAUCAUUAGUUUCUUAAUUGGGAACUUGUAUGAAUGGUUGGACAAAGAAAAAUCUGUCUCUUGCACUGAAAUUGAAUUUAACUUCUAAGUGAAAAGGCUUAGAUUAUCCAGAGGGACGAUAAGACCCUAUAAAGCUUUAUAAAUUUAUUAAUUUCGUUUAUUUUUUAUUAUAAUAAUGAUGGUAAGAAAAUUUAUUUGGUUGGGGCAACCGAAGUAUAAUUUUAAAUAACUGCUAUAAUUUAAUACAAUGAUUUUUGUCUUAUACAAUAAUUGAUCCUCAAAGAGAUUAAAGACCAAGUUACUUUAGGGAUAACAGCGUAAUUUAUCCUGAGAGUUCUUAUCAAAGGAAAAGUUUGCGACCUCGAUG